UACGGGAGGCAGCAGUAGGGAAUCUUCCGCAAUGGACGAAAGUCUGACGGAGCAACGCCGCGUGAGUGAAGAAGGUUUUCGGAUCGUAAAACUCUGUUGUCAGAGAAGAACAAGUCGGAGAGUAACUGCUCCGGCCUUGACGGUAUCUGACCAGAAAGCCACGGCUAACUACGUGCCAGCAGCCGCGGUAAU
This 192-nucleotide ribosomal RNA is filed under the name uncultured bacterium. RNAcentral describes it as "partial 16S rRNA". It matches the Rfam family "Bacterial small subunit ribosomal RNA", at positions 340 to 524 of the family's 1533-position model. The record is from RNAcentral.